UUGAACGCUGGCGGAAUGCUUUACACAUGCAAGUCGAGCGGCAGCACGGGGGCAACCCUGGCGGCGAGUGGCGAACGGGUGAGUAACGUAUCGGAACGUACCCAGUCGUGGGGGAUAACUAACCGAAAGGAUAGCUAAUACCGCAUACGUCCUGAGGGAGAAAGCGGGGGAUCGCAAGACCUCGCGCGAUUGGAGCGGCCGAUAUCGGAUUAGCUAGUUGGUGAGGUAAAGGCUCACCAAGGCGACGAUCCGUAGCGGGUCUGAGAGGACGACCCGCCACACUGGAACUGAGACACGGUCCAGACUCCUACGGGAGGCAGCAGUGGGGAAUUUUGGACAAUGGGGGCAACCCUGAUCCAGCCAUUCCGCGUGAGUGAAGAAGGCCUUCGGGUUGUAAAGCUCUUUCGGCCGGGACGAAACCGUACGUGUCAAUAC
Molecule: ribosomal RNA, 435 nt
Filed under: uncultured bacterium
Lineage: Bacteria
Description: bacterial SSU rRNA
Rfam family: Bacterial small subunit ribosomal RNA
Source: RNAcentral